This 468-nucleotide ribosomal RNA is filed under the name uncultured bacterium. RNAcentral's name for it is "partial 16S ribosomal RNA". It matches the Rfam family "Bacterial small subunit ribosomal RNA", at positions 28 to 507 of the family's 1533-position model. The record is from RNAcentral.
GACGAACGCUGGCGGCGUGCUUAACACAUGCAAGUCGAACGGAGAAGCCCCAGCUUGCUGGAGUGGAUCAGUGGCGAACGGGUGAGUAACACGUGAGCAACCUGCCCCUGACUCUGGAAUAAGCGCUGGAAACGGCGUCUAAUACUGGAUACGAGAAGGGUCCGCAUGGGCACUUUCUGGAAAGUUUUUCGGUUGGGGAUGGGCUCGCGGCCUAUCAGCUUGUUGGUGAGGUAAUGGCUCACCAAGGCGACGACGGGUAGCCGGCCUGAGAGGGCGACCGGCCACACUGGGACUGAGACACGGCCCAGACUCCUACGGGAGGCAGCAGUGGGGAAUAUUGCAUAAUGGGCGAAAGCCUGAUGCAGCGACGCCGCGUGAGGGAUGACGGCCUUCGUGUUGUAAACCUCUUUCAGCAGGGAAGAAGCGAAAGUGACGGUACCUUCAGAAGAAGCCCCGGCUAACUACGUG